Molecule: long non-coding RNA, 213 nt
Filed under: Lathyrus oleraceus (garden pea)
Lineage: Eukaryota; Viridiplantae; Streptophyta; Magnoliopsida; Fabales; Fabaceae
Description: Pisum sativum (pea) long non-coding RNA (PSAT_LNC034238)
Source: RNAcentral
UUCAAAUGGAGAAUUAAAAAUCAAACCAUAACAAAUUAAACUAGGUUAAUUAGACAUAAUUAAAUAUAAAAAUAAAAACAAUUAUUAAAAUAAAUCAAAAAUCAAAAAUAAAAAUAAGGAAAGUUAAAUAACAAUCGAAAUAUUAAUCAUGAAUUAUUUGAGAGUUUUUGGAUAAAAGGAGGUAUUUUAAAUAAAAACAAAAUAAACAAUUAU